RNAcentral lists this ribosomal RNA (497 nucleotides) under uncultured bacterium. Its description in RNAcentral is "partial 16S ribosomal RNA". It matches the Rfam family "Bacterial small subunit ribosomal RNA", at positions 28 to 507 of the family's 1533-position model. The record is from RNAcentral.
GAUGAACGCUGGCGGCGUGCCUAAUACAUGCAAGUCGAGCGAACGGACGAGAAGCUUGCUUCUCUGAUGUUAGCGGCGGACGGGUGAGUAACACGUGGAUAACCUACCUAUAAGACUGGGAUAACUUCGGGAAACCGGAGCUAAUACCGGAUAAUAUUUUGAACCGCAUGGUUCAAAAGUAAAAGACGGUCUUGCUGUCACUUAUAGAUGGAUCCGCGCUGCAUCAGCUAGUUGGUAAGGUAACGGCUUACCAAGGCAACGAUGCAUAGCCGACCUGAGAGGGUGAUCGGCCACACUGGAACUGAGACACGGUCCAGACUCCUACGGGAGGCAGCAGUAGGGAAUCUUCCGCAAUGGGCGAAAGCCUGACGGAGCAACGCCGCGUGAGUGAUGAAGGUCUUCGGAUCGUAAAACUCUGUUAUUAGGGAAGAACAUAUGUGUAAGUAACUGUGCACAUCUUGACGGUACCUAAUCAGAAAGCCACGGCUAACUACGUG